RNAcentral lists this ribosomal RNA (510 nucleotides) under uncultured Glomus. RNAcentral describes it as "SSU rRNA". It matches the Rfam family "Eukaryotic small subunit ribosomal RNA", at positions 569 to 1081 of the family's 1831-position model. The record is from RNAcentral. Lineage: Eukaryota; Fungi; Glomeromycota; Glomeromycetes; Glomerales; Glomeraceae.
AGCAGCCGCGGUAAUUCCAGCUCCAAUAGCGUAUAUUAAAGUUGUUGCAGUUAAAAAGCUCGUAGUUGAAUUUCGGGGUCAGUAGGCUGGUCAUGCCACAGGUAUGUACUGGUCUCACUGAUUCCUCCUUCCUGAUGAACCGUAAUGCCAUUAAUUUGGUGUUGCGGGGAAACUGGACUGUUACUUUGAAAAAAUUAGAGUGUUUAAAGCAGGCUAACGCUUGAAUACAUUAGCAUGGAAUAAUGAAGUAGGACGUUCGAUCCUAUUUUGUUGGUUUCUAGGAUUGACGUAAUGAUUAAUAGGGAUAGUUGGGGGCAUUAGUAUUCAAUUGUCAGAGGUGAAAUUCUUGGAUUUAUUGAAGACUAACUACUGCGAAAGCAUUUGCCAAGGAUGUUUUCAUUAAUCAAGAACGAAAGUUAGGGGAUCGAAGACGAUCAGAUACCGUCGUAGUCUUAACCAUAACUAUGCCGACUAGGGAUCGGAUGAUGUUAAUUAUUUAAUGACUCAUUC